RNAcentral lists this ribosomal RNA (295 nucleotides) under uncultured soil bacterium. RNAcentral describes it as "partial 16S ribosomal RNA". It matches the Rfam family "Bacterial small subunit ribosomal RNA", at positions 26 to 320 of the family's 1533-position model. The record is from RNAcentral.
AGGACGAACGCUGGCGGCGCGCUUAACACAUGCAAGUCGAACGUGAAGCUGGAGCUUGCUCCGGUGGUAAGUGGCGAACGGGUGCGUAACACGUGAGCAACCUGCCCCGAAGACUGGGAUAACACCGGGAAACCGGUGCUAAUACCGGAUACCUUCCUCCGAUCGCAUGGUUGGUUGAAGAAAUGGAUUCCGCUUCGGGAUGGGCUCGCGGCCUAUCAGCUUGUUGGUGAGGUAACGGCCCACCAAGGCGACGACGGGUAGCUGGUCUGAGAGGACGACCAGCCACACUGGGACU